UACGUAGGGGGCAAGCGUUGUCCGGAUUUAUUGGGCGUAAAGAGCGUGUAGGCGGCCUGAAAGGUCAGCUGUGAAAAACUCGAGGCUCAACCUCGAGACGUCGGUUGAAACCAUCUGGCUAGAGUCCGGAAGAGGAGUGUGGAAUUCCCGGUGUAGCGGUGAAAUGCGCAGAUAUCGGGAAGAACACCCGUGGCGAAGGCGGCACUCUGGGACGGUACUGACGCUGAGACGCGAAAGCGUGGGGAGCGAACAGG
Molecule: ribosomal RNA, 254 nt
Filed under: uncultured bacterium
Lineage: Bacteria
Description: partial 16S ribosomal RNA
Rfam family: Bacterial small subunit ribosomal RNA
Source: RNAcentral